Molecule: long non-coding RNA, 12826 nt
Organism: Cebus imitator (Panamanian white-faced capuchin)
Lineage: Eukaryota; Metazoa; Chordata; Mammalia; Primates; Cebidae
Exons: 3
Source: RefSeq, a predicted model, not a curated record
CACACACACACACACAUCCACCCUCUUGGUUCUGUUUUCUCUGGCGAACCCUGACUACUACAGAUACCUUUAUCCUAGAACCCUGACUACUACAGAUGCAUCUUGAAAUUCUUAAAUGAAAGGUAAAAUCUAUUUGGAGCACUGCAUUAUAUUUUCCAAUAAAAAUAUAACUAUCUUAGAGCACAGGAACUUUUGGCUGUUUUGUAGAGGGUAGAAGCUUAGGAAAUCUUCAAUGAUCAUAAAUAUUUUUUGAAUGAAUGGCGAAUAAAAAAGUUACAAUUAGUCUAACUGUGAUGACAUUUUUUCCCUAGCAGUGUAAAAGGUGUAAAGAUCUAUUAAUUUAGUUGUCUAAAGAAGAUGCUUAUAGCUUGCUGGAUUAUAGUGAUAUUUAACUAAGUUUUUAAAACAGAUAUUGACUAUUGAAAAUUUCUUUUGCAUGUUUCAGUAGCAUUUUACUUUCAACGUAUUUAUUUUUAAAAUUGCUGCUCAUUAGGGGGAAAAGGACUUGACCCUUCCCAUUUAAGGAGACUUGCUGGUAAAGACCAAUUUGUAUGUCAUUGAACAGAACUUAUUAGAAUUCUAGCCAGAAAGUCAUGUGGGAGGCUGAGAAAUAUGGCCCUCCAGCUGAGCAUAUCAACACUUCAAAUAAAACUUGGGUUCAGUUACUAAGGAGGAAGAGGAGAGUAGAUGUUGGGAUAGGCAACUAGCAGCUUCCGCCAUAGGGUGCUAUUUUUUGUUACUGUUAUUUAAAAUCUCAAUCGGUGGACAAGCAUUUUGCCUAGUUGUUGUCACUGUUAGUAUACUAAAGCUGGCAGACCUGAAUUAUCAUUGCUUUUAGGGAACGAAAACCACACAAUUUAAAUUAUUGAGAAGUGUUACAGCUGGCAGAGAUCUAAGAACUAAUUGGGCACAGCUGCUUCAUUUUGCAGACGAGAAGCUAAAGCCCAGAGAGGUAAAGUGGCUGAAGUGGAAAAGACUUCCUGAGAGCAUAAAGAUGGUCAUCUUGGCUGCGUCCACACACUCGUAGGCUCUGUUAUUUCAAGUUUAAUCAAAGAAAGUUAUCCAGCCCUUCAGUGCUGCAUUGUUUCUUCCCAUGAAACUUCACUGUACAAAUACCUGCCAUUUGGGAAUCAGCAGGCUCAAGUGAAGGUUUGUAAAUUCUUGGUGUACCACCGAAACUAUGUAUUUUUUUAGCAGUGAAUGCAUUGUUCCCAUUAUUAGCAUUUUGAAAUAAUAACAGUGGGAAUUUAUUGAGAAUUAGUUUAUAAGCUCCAUGAAAGCAGGGAUCAAGUUUGAUUUCACACGCCACUGUAUCUAUAGUGCCCAACAUAGCCCUUGAUGCAUAAUACGUAAUACAACAAAUAAAUAGCUGUUGAUUGAGUAGAUGUAGUGUUUAUGAGGCGGCAGACGUGGUGUUUGUUAAGUAUUCUUCAUGAGUCAUCUCAUUUCAUUCUUGUAACAACCCCAUGAGGCGGAUAAUAUAUGAAACUAAAAUUUGAAAAUGUGCCCAUAGAUAAAAACAGAAUGAGUGUUGGGACUUGGGCUAGUCUGUCUGACUCCAUUCUAAAUUACUAGGGAAGCUGGAGGUUUUGGAGUUGAUUAUCAGAUGAAACAAAACUACUCUUAGAUUAAUUAUGAGGAAUUUAAAAAGCCUGACUAGUUGAUGUGUUAUCCAUCACAAAGAUAAGUUAAUUAGCUUAACAAAAAAAUGGAAGAAAAAGAUAGGAAAAGGCUGACCUGUUAGGUUAGUGAAGGAUUCUUGGGUAUUUUGGGAGGAGUGGGAUAAGUUUGAGUGGAGAAAAGUUAUUCAAUGAAGCUUUCACCCUAUCUUGCUUGAGAGACUUUCCUUUGAGCCAUGCAUUAAACUUGAAAAUGCUGUCCUGAAGUGUUACCAAAUCUAGAUCAUGGAUGACAGACAUUUAAUCUUACUCCCGACAUCCCAGGAUUUACUUCUGUGGUUCUAUGCCUUUUUUUAUUUUUUAUUUUUUUUAAAGGAAAUGGUGACUCUGUGUAGAACAGAGGAGAGCAGUAAGCUGCAGGAACUUUCUUACUGUGGUUUCUGGGCCCUGACAUUGCUUUUCUACAUCUACCGAAAGAAAACUUGUCUAUUUCUGUGUACAGAUUUUUGUUAUUUGUUUUUCUUCUUGUUGUUGUUCCUAAGAUAUUUCUAACGCUGGAAGCCUGUCUUAGGAGGUGAUGAUGAUGUGACCCUGAAUCUCAGACCCCUACAUAAAGAUCCGAGCCCUGUGUCUGGAAUAGACUUGCCAAAGCAGGCCUGUGGGUCUGGUGUGGCUUAGGGCCCUAGUCUUUGAAUGGUGGAUGUGGGCUGGCUGUGGCCAUAUUUCUCUGAAGGCUUUGUUUUUUUCCCCUCCUGUCAUAUAGCCAGAACCUAGUUGUUCUCAACUCUGGAUAUUUCUUAGAAUAAUCUGAGGAGACUUAAAAUAUUGAUGUCUGGGUUCCACUAAAGAGUCUGAGUUGAUAGAUUUGGUGAGGAGUCAAGGCAUUCGUAUUUAUUUUAGAAGCACCCCAGGUGAUUCUAAUGUGUAGUCAGAGUUAAGAGCCAUUCUUGUAGCCUAACAAGGCCCCUGCCCCAAAACCAUUAUUUUUGCUUGCCUUUUUCUCCCAUUCUGUAUCUUGUGUGAUCAGCAAUAGGGCUUUUGCUUCUACUGGAUGGCAUUUCUAAUUACCAUUAAAGGCUGUGUAUUAGAUUGAAGUCAGGAGGACAGGCAAGGUAGUUUCUAUGACAAGCACAGAGUGAGAUGUACAUAAUGAUUAUUUUACUUUUUAAUUAAAAAUUAAUGAAUAAAUAAGGAAAUAAUAAAAGUGAAACAAGUAUGAACUAGAAGUUUUAUAAUUUUUCUGUAACCAGUAGAUCCAAAUACAGAUAAUCUGUCAAGAAAUAGAAAAAUUAGGCUACAUGAAUGCUUUUCUAUAAAAAGGCUUUAAUAAAAAGGUCUCAAAAAGAACUAAAAAAUGAAUCUGACCAAUUAUUUCAGAAGAAAUUGAGCCAGCUAUCAUAAAAAAUCAGGCACAAACAGUUUCCAGUUGGAUAAAUUUAAAUUAUUAAGGAUCAGAUGGCUGUUGGGCAGUUUAAAAGUAUUUUAGAACAGAGAAAGUGAACCUUCUGAAUUAUCUUUAUGAAGCAAGCAUAACAUUAGUAUAAAAAAUGAGAGUGGCACUUAAAAACAAUUAGCUAUGCAAUGUAAUCUUUUAUGAGAAUAUUGAUAUAAAAAUCCCAAAUAAAGUACAAGCAAAAACAACCUAGCAAUGAAUAAAAGGUUAGCACCACAGCCAAGUGAGGUUCAUUUUAACAAAUCAAAGAUGGAUCAAUAGUGGAAAUCUGCUAGUGGAAUUCUCUAUGUUGAUAGGUAAAGGAGGAAAAAAAGUGUUGAUAACAACGGAUGUGGCAAAUGCAUUUGAUAAAAGUCAAUACGUAUACUAGAUAAGCAGUAAAAUAGUAACACAUCAUAUUUCAGUAAUUUUCAUGAGUUAUUCCAUUACACUGAAUGGUGAAGAACUAGAACCAUUUUUUAAAGUUAGAAACAGAAGAGGAUAUAACAAUAACCACUAUUAUCUACCAUAUGUAAUAAGAGAUUUAGAGCACCAAGUGAACAGUGCUUUCUAUGUUCCUUGCAAAUCAUUUAAUCCUCCUCAAACACUGCAAGAGAGAUACUUUUAUUCCCAUUUACUGAUGAGAAAAUAACAGCACAGAGAAAUAACUUGCCCAGACUCACACUGCCCAGAAGUAGCAGAGCUUCGAUUUGAGUCUGCCUACACUGCCCCUGUGGGAAGAAAAUUGAUGAUGAUAAGAUACUUGAAUAAAUGAAGUUCCAAUGAUAAUUUUGAAAGGAUGACAUUUUCUCUAAAUUUUAUUUAUGAAUUAAAUUAUACUGCAAUUGUAAUUCCAAUAAGAUUUUCUUAACUUGAAAAAAUGAUUCCAAAGUUCCUCUAGAUGAAUAGAUAUUAAAGAAUAGCCAGAAAAACUUUAUAAGGAAGUAUAAUGGGAAAGGACUUACAUUUGUGGUAAUGCAGUGAACACAGAAAUGGCCCAGUAAGAAACCAAAAAUGGAGAGUAUAGAACAGAUGUCAACAAACUAAGGCUAGCAGAGGAGAAACUAAAGCCCAGAAAGGUACAGCCACAGUCAACAUUUACAUAUGAUCUAUGGCGACUUUCAUGCUACAACAGCUAUGUAGUUGUGACAGAGAUCAUAUGGGUGGCAAAACCAAAAAUAUUUACUCUCUGGUCCUUUACAGAAAAAGUUCGCCAAUCCCUAGCAUAAAGUCCAUACUUAAGUGAAUGUAGAAGGCACUUAAAAAUCAGUCAGGAGGCUCUUAGGGCAAGAUGGCUGGCUAGAUGCAGCCAGGUGGGACAGCUGCCACCAAGGGACCUGGAAGAUUGGUGCAAUCCUAACAUCUUCAGAGGGAAGGCACUGAAAGUGAAUACAGAGAAGACACAGAAACUGGCUGAAGUGGGAGGGAGUGGGGAACCCUGCAUGGGACUAUUGCACAGUGGAGGGACUUGCUCCGGCCCCAUGACUCCAAACGGGGGAGUUUAACUGGCAAGGAGCAACUUACUCUUGCCACAAGCCUCUGGAAUCCCAAAAUGAGAAGACGUCUGGAUUGCCACAGACACUUGAGUUGGGAGGAAGAGCUACUCAGAGAAGUGGUAGGGGCAGCACUCCAGCCAGUGAAGAGCCCAGAGGGUUUGGUGUGGGAGCGUCUUAGUGGAGCAUGGCUGAUGCCCAUCCCCUAGGCUCCACUUGCUUCCACAGUUGACUUUAGUCUUAGGGAAACUGUCGGACCUGAACUCUGCAAGGCAGUGUUGCCCAUCAGAUGGGGCUGUUCCAACCUGAACAACCCUUGGCCUGCUGGGCUCUCCUGGGGCCCCAGCCUGGGUGCCUCUGCUUGCAGUGCAGCCUCAGGUGCCAAGGGGGCCUGCAUCCCAGCUCCUGCACUGGCAGACAGCCACAGGAGACCUCUAGCAGGGCAGCCCGGUGGACCUGCAUUAGCCUGCCCACUCCCUCCUUCUCUGCAGCUCACCUGGCCCAUGGCCACCCACCACACCGCUUUACUGGCACUCAUGUGCCCUGGCGGAUUUUAUCUUCCCUAGCUACCCACCAGUGCAUGUGUACAAGUGCACCCUGCCAUGCCACUGCUGCUGGCGUAUCUCGGCUCCCCCAUCGCCCCUGCGUCCCAUCUCCAGCUGUACUGCCACUGCAGUCUGAGCCUUGGGAGGCAUAUGGCUUGUCAGCUCCUCCUCUGCCAGCACCUCACUUCUGUACCAACACUGUCCUAGGAGUGAAACUAGGCAUGGAGAACAGCAGGCCCUCUCCUGCAGUCGCCUUCACCUGCGUGAACACACAGGGUACACACUGUCCUGAGCCCCGCCAGCCCUCCAGCCCAGUGCUACCACCAUCACCAGUGCAACUGUGUGCACAGUCACUAGCAGGGACCUCAACCCUAGAGCCGUGCUGUCUCCAUCACAGCUGUGAAUGCCUGCAUGGAGGCUGGUACCCUGGCACCUGCUAGCACACUAUUAUAGUCCAUGAGCAUGUACUCUGCUGGGCUGCUGCUGACAAAAACAAGCAAUGAGGUAAGGACUCCCUAUUCAAUAAAUGGUACCGGGAUAACUGGCUAGCCAUAUACAGAAGGUUGAAACUGGACCCCCUCCUUACACAAAAAUCAGCUCAAGAUGGAUUAAAGACUAAAAUAUAAAACCCAAAACAAUAAAAACCCUGGAAGACAAACUCUGGAAGGCAAUACCAUUCUAGAGUAGGAAUAGGAAAAUAUUUUAUGAUGAAAAUGCCACAAAAAAUUGCAACAAAAGCAAAAAUUGACAAUUGAGACCUAAUAAAUGUGACAGUUUCUUUUACUGAACUUCUGCACAGUAAAAGAAACUAUCAGCAUGGUAAACACAAUCUACAAAAUGCAAGAAAAUUUUUGCAAAGUAUACAUCUGACAAAGGUCUAACAUCUAGCAUCUAUAAGGAACUUAAAUUUACAAGAAAAAAAUCUCAUUAAAAUGUGAAUGAAGGACAUGAACAGACACUUUUCAAAAGAAGACACACAUUCAGCCAACAAGCGUAUAAAAAAUGCUUUGAUCACUGAUCAUUAGAGAAAUGCAAAGCAAAAUCACGAAGAGAUACCAUUUCACACUAGUCAGAAUGGCUAUUACUAAAAAGUCAAAAAAUAACAUGCUGGAGAGGGUGUGGUAAAACAGAAACACGCACUGUUGGUGGGAGUAUAAAUUGGUUCAGCCACUAUGGAUGAACGGUGAACUGUUGGUGAAACAGGAACACUUAUGCACUGUUGGUGGGAGCAUAAAUUGGUUCAGCCACCGUGGUUCAGCCAUUUGUGGCAAUUCCUCAAAGAGCUAAAAACAGAACUACCAUUUGACCUAGCAAUCCCAUUCCUGGGUACCUACCCCAAGGAAUAGAAAUCAUUCUAUCAUAAAGACACAUGCACACAUAUGUUUAUUGCAGCACACGUUUCCAUGUCUUUGCUGUUCACAAAGCAAUAUUCACAAUAGCAAAGAUGUGGAAUUAGCCUAAAUGCUCAUUAAUGGUAGACUGGAAUUAAAAAAUAUGGUACAUAUGCACUACAGAAUACUAAGCAACUAUAGAAAGAACAAUAUCAUGUUCUUGGCAGGAACAUGAAUGGAACUGGAGACCAUUAUCCUUAGCAAUCUAAUGCAGGGACAGAAAACCAAAUACUACAUGUUUUCACUUAUAAGUGGGAGGUAAAUGAUAAGAACACAUGGACACAUAGUGGGGAACAACAGACACGGAGGGCUACCUGAAGGUAGCAGGAGGGAGGAGGAAGUGGAUCAGGAAAAAUGGAUACUAGGUUUAAUAGCUAGGUGAUGAAAUAAUCUGUACAACAAACCCCAUGACACGAGUUUACCAAUAUAACAAACCUGCACAUGUACCCUCAACUUAAAAGUUUAAAUAAAUAAAAAUAAGUGGGACUGUUGAUUAUGGCAGUUGUCUUAUUCUCCAACACAUGGAGAUUGCAAGUAGUAAGUAAUAAUAGUAAUAAGAGAAAACAUUGUUUAUGUAAACCUGGGAAUUACAAGUUUUUUCAGGGACACUAUAAAGCAGGAACCAUAAAGAAAGAAUGUCAAAUUAUGACUGCAAACUAUUAUUUAAAUGGCAGAGAAACAGCAAAAACAGUAUUGAAAGGCAAAUGACAAACUUGGAAAAUAUUCAUAAGAUGUAUUUAGCAUGGUUUAACAUUUAGUGUUCAGGAUUCAGUUAUGGAUUAUGGAACCCACUCUGGUUCUUUAAGCAGGAAAGGAUUUAAUGUACAGAAUUAGGUGAUUAAUAAAUCAUUGUAAGGGCCAAAGGAGAAAACAUUUAAACUGGCCUGCCAAGCCAACUGCUGCUCUUGUUCACCCAGGAGGCUGCUGAGGAGGCUGUGAUCUCUUCUGCUGGUUAUUGGGUCACAGGGCCACAGCUGUAAGCCAAGGAUCAGGAAGCUGUCACAGCUAUAAGCCAAGGAUCAGGAAGCUGUUCAUAGUUGUAAGCCAAGGAUCAGGAAGCUGUUCACAGCUGUAAGCGAAGGAUCAGGAAGCUGUGGUUGGAACUGUUGGAUCAUGGGCCACACCAAGUCCUCUGACUCCACAGCAGCAAAAAAGCAGAAGAGAAAACACAGAGCGACAUAGAGGAGACCACCAUAUGAAGACGGAGGUAAAAACUGGAGAGACACAUCUAAAGCUAUGGAGUAUUGGCAACUACCAGAUGGAGGUGUUUUUAUAAAAGGGACGCAAAAGAGAGGCGCAGAGAGAAGAUGAGAAGACUGAGGCAGAGGUUGGAGUGAUGCAGCCAGGAGCCAAGGAAUGCCUGCCGCACUUUGAUUUCAAAUAUCUCACCUCCAGAAUUGCAAGAAAAUCAAUUUCUGUUGUUUUAAGCUAUCAAAUUGUGAACAUUUGUAUACGGUAGCCCCAAGAAACAAAUACAGGAAGUACUGACAUGGGAGAGUUCCCUGAUCCCCCUUGCAGGACUUAAGACAAGGGUGUGGCUCCCCUGGGCGGUUGCUGCUGCAGCUCAAACCUCUGAGAAGCGAGGGAGCACGAAGACGGGGAGAUGCAGGAGCUGGGGUAAGUGCUUUGGGCUCCGGCCCCAUCGUAGCGUCUAAGGGUGGGUGUCUGCUGCCCCAGUGUUACAAUGCUCUUUUAGCUUCGCCGGCUGACCAAGUGUUAACCAGCUCAAUGGACCCUCUUCCUCUUUAUAAGGUUAUUGUGUCAGUGUAACAGCUUUCUGUAUCCUGAGCUCUUGCCCCGCGUCCUGGAAGACUCAGGUCACACAGGGGCUUGAAGGAUGAAUGUGGAGGUUUUUCUUGAGCGAAUGUGGAGGUGACUCUAAGUGGGAUGGACGAGGAGCCAGAAGGGAGGAUAGAGUGUUAAGAUGAUCUUCCCCUGGAGCCUGGCCGUCCAGUGGCUGACCCCUCUCCAGCCGCCCCCAGCUGAACCCCUGGCAUUUAGAUGUUCCUCCUGUCUUUGCUGCGUGCUUCCACCGCUGGUCUGCGUGUGGAGCCUGGGGUUUCACAUUCAUAUGAGUCCAGGAUGGGGGCCAUGGUGGGCCAAAAGGCAACAUUUUGGGUGCAAAAACAGAAACGCCUGUUCCCACUUAGGCCGCGGGCCUCCAGGCUGGAGUGCGGGGCCUUUGCCAGGGAACCGCCGUCUUCUACCCACUACUUCCAUCUCCUGUUCCUAUCAGUUUCUCAAACUCUAACUUGCACGUAAUAUUUUCAACUCCCUUUUCAGUCAUUAUUGUUGCCAGCUUGCACAGUGAAUGUGUGUGUAUGUUAAUGAAUACAAAGAAUAUAAACAGUACAUCAUAAAUCUCAUUUGCAUCAAUCUCUGCUCAUAAGAAUUAUUUUCUCAGCAUUCCUGAAUCUGAAGGAGAGACAUUACAGUAUGCUGAGUAGACAGCAGAAACUGGGAGUUAAGUUUGCUGAGUCUCUGUAAUGAACAUGCUGCUAUUCAGGAAACACACUAAUACAUUCUCGUAAUUACGAUUUGGUAACUAUUUGAUAAAUGUAAUUCUUUUCAGGUAGCGUACCUGGUAAUUACUUACAUAAAUAGUAGUUCAAUCAUUAUCUGAUGCGUCUUGUGGAGGUUUUGGUUCAGCUGGACCAGGGAUGAUGUCUGUUAGGACGUGAGAUUGGAAGAUACAAGCUGCUUUUUCUGGGGAACGUGUCUGUCGAAGUCAGGAUGUAAGAUGGCAAACCCCUUCCUUUGCCUGUCACCAUCGGCAUGGAGAGAGUAGUGAUAAAUCAUUGUAAUAACAGUGGCAGUGGACUGUCAGCUCGGUGAGGGAAUCCAGAUGAAUUUUCCUUUUCAAGCCAUCAGUUUUAAGCAAAUGAGAGGCCUAAAGCAAAGUGUAAAAAUAACUGCUGUAAACCAAGAGAAUGACUGUAGAUACAGGAGAUAUUAACUGACAGAAUUUCCUUUUUUCUGCUUGCUCUUCAAGGAUGACUGGACACUGUAAAACCUCAUUAAAUCAAAGGUUUUACAUCUGCGAUUUCUUUUCAGUUCCAACAAGGGCUACGCUUGCAGUUUCUGAUUUACUGCCACAUCCCCAGUGCCUGGCACAUGGUAAUAAUAACGAUAAUGACGGCAAUCAUAAACAUUUGUGCAUUUACCUUUUAGUCUGGCUGUAUUCUAAGUGCAUUGUGUAUAAUUUAUCCUUAGAACUACCUGAGAGGCAGGUGAUUUUAUUUCCAUUUGCACCUUGAAGAAACGGGUGCAGAGAGUUAAGGCAGUUGCCCAAGCCGCACUAUUAACAUGAGUGAAGGUAGGAUUUGAACCCAGGAGGUCAAACUCCAGAGCUUAAGAAACUUUCCAGCUUAAGAAAGAUCAGGAAUACUCAGUAAAUAACACCAAUGAACUCACUCUUACCGAGCACUUACAACAUGCCUGGCACUGUCUGUCUUUUGCAUGUAUUUACACAUUUAGUAUCUGUUAAGUACUUAUUUAUGGGUACUCUUUUAGAUCUGAUUUACAUAAAAGAAAACUGAGGCACAGGACAAUUUAGAAAAUUGUCCAGACUUGAUAUUAAUAGCUAUUAUGUGGCAGUAGCAGGCUUCCCAAGACAGACUAUCUCAGCUAGUCUCCAUCCUCCUAAUCACUAAGCACUGCCACCUCUCCUGUGAACAUAUCAUAAGAUGCAUCUUCAUCAUAGUUGGGGGGAAAGAGCCCUCCUGAAAAUAACAAUUUCAGUAUUGUUAAGGCCGUUUAGAGGCAACCAGAACAGUUUUGGAAAUGCAGAAUCUCGGGCCCAUUUAAAACUCAUUGAGCCAGAAUCUGCAUUUAAAUGAGUUCUCCAGCUGAUUCAGUUCAAAUUGAAAUCUGAAAAGUACUUCUCUAGACCAGAGUUCUCCAAUUUUGCUGCAUAUCAGAAUCAUGUGAGGAGUAGAGACACUAGUUUAUUUGGCCUGGGGGUGUUGCCUGAAAACUGGGAUUUAAAAAAGCCCCCAUCCAGGUGAUGUUAAUGCAUAGCCAAGGUUGAGAACAACAGGUAUAGAGACUACAGUUUUGGAGUCCUUUGUCCCUGUAAUUAUUUAUUCAACAAAUAACACUCUUCAAUAAUACAGGCAUUGCUGUGGGUACUACGACUAUGUAACAGCAACCAGAUACAGUCCCUGAACUUGGGGAAUGAGCUGGGCAAGUUACUUAUCCUUUCUGAGCCUCAGUUUCCUUAUCUGUGAAAUGCAAUAGGCAGCUUUCUGCUGCAUGAUGACGUUUCUGCCAAUGAUGGACUGCAUAUGUGAGAGUGGUCCCAUGAGAUCAUAAUGAAGCUGAAAGUUCCUAUCAUCUAGUGAUGUCGCCAUCAUAAUGUCCUAGUGGUGGUGACAGGAGGAUAGAAAAACCCAACAACAGGUAAAAUAAGAACUAGCCAAAUAAACUACAGGAUAACAGAAAACUCAAUAAGAGAAAAAACAGCCAAAACCCUGUUCAGAGUGACAUGUCCAUGAUGCUUCCAGGCAAACCCAAAUAAGAGAGAAAGUAUGGGUUAGUAAUCAGGGGUCCCUGAAAUGCUCUUUUUUUUCCCCAGAAUAUCUAAUGAUUAUUUCAUUCCCUAAUUUAAAAAAAAAACGCCCAUAAAAUAGAAAUGCUGGGUGGUUUCAGGAGAAGCAGGAAAAUAUCAAGCAAUAGUUUUACCAACAGCAAGAAAGGAGCUGUUAAAAUUAGCUACAAGGACAAAGAUGAGCCUGGGCUGAUAAGACCCUAGCUAACAGGAUGGGGGCUAAGCUGAUUGAAACCAGCGAAGACCAACACAGCAUUGGAUUUGACCCAGAUCCUACUCCAGACCUAAUUAUACACUCAUUACUCUCCCAAAUCUCUGACUCACCUGUGCCAUGACAGAUCUGACCAUGCCCAUAUUUACUAUAAAAAUGGGUGGCACUCCAAGUCUAAGAUAUCACCACCUUUUUCCUAGAAGCCCUCAGGAUUCCACCUUUUAAUUAGAAGAGCUUAUUAAAUUAGAAACCCAAACUCCAUUGUGUGCAACUCACUUUUCCAGGUUCACUCACACUCUUGCUCUUGAGUGGGUACUUUCACUUUGCAAUAAAAUCUUCUUGCCUUUUGCUUUACUCUGACUCAUCUCUGAAUUCUCUCUUGCAACGAUGUCAAGAACCUGCAACACUGGCUGGGGCUGGGGUCUCACCGGCAUCUGGAGACCCACACAAGCCCUCCAGUGAUAUUGUAAAUACUGUUUCCUGGAACUGGGUUUAUGACUAGAAGAUACCCAUAGUUUGUGAGAGCUUGUUUGCUCCCUAGUAAGCUGACCUUUCUGAAGCUGCCUUUCCCAGGAUGCCUUGCAGGAAGAUGUAUGCCUGCAAUGUACAGCAGCUGGCUUGGCAGAUGCCUGGAGGACAGCGUUUUGGCUUGAAUGGGCAGACAAUGCACUAUGGUUUACUUGUCUCACUCUUGAGGUUUUCACAGAUGAAUUCAGCAGCUAUUUAUAUCAGAAAGAUUAUUGACAUUCACUCUAAAACAAUAUGUUGGUAAAUACUUAUUGUUUAUCAGGGUUCUAUAUAGUAUUAGGCAUAUUUAAAUCCCUGUAACUUUGCAAGGGAAAUGGCAUUCCCCACAAUUCCCCCCAAUUCCCCUUGGAAUCUGGUACCAAGGAGGCAUCUGCCCAAGUUCACAGCAUAAAUCCAAGCCUGUCUGAUUUCAGAAUCUGUGCUCUUUUCGCAACCAUAUGAUAUCUUCAUAUGGCUCACACUGUGAAUUUGGGUCUGUUUGAUUCUGAAAUCCAUGCUCUUUUUACAACCAUAUGAUACCUUCCAUACUUUUCAGUUUGACUUCUUUAAUUUAUGCUUUUAACAGCUGAUUACCAUUUUGCUCCAGAGAAUUUCCUAAGGAUUCUUUUUUCCUGCUAAGUUUUUAGAAAAGUGAGAAUGUACGUCAUUGUUAUGACCUAGAGAGGUUGUCCUCCUUUUUCCUCAGGGAUGUAUUUACCUGUUACUCUAAAAAUUCUCCUAGAAAUGGAAAUUACCUUAACUUUAAGCCAAAGUAGGAUCAGUUCUGUGCUUCGUAUUUUUUUUCCUUAGGCUUUUUAUUUUUAUCUUCACAAUGAUAUCAUCUGAAGGCAUAGGAGGCAGUCUGUGUGAUUUGAAGAAUGCUCGAGGCAUUUGAUGGAUUGCCAUAAUUCUAGAAAUUUUUAUCAAGGCAUUCUAUACCCCUGUUAAUGAAAAUAUAUUGAAUUGAAGGUGAAUCUAUUUCAUUGUUCGAUUGAUUUAUUGAACAGAGUAGCUAAUCACUCAAAAAAUGGAAUAGUCAGCUGGGUGCAGUGGCUCACGCCUGUAAUCCCAGCACUUUG